RNAcentral lists this unclassified non-coding RNA (337 nucleotides) under soil metagenome. Its description in RNAcentral is "partial contains 5.8S ribosomal RNA, internal transcribed spacer 2, and large subunit ribosomal RNA". The stretch from base 1 to 120 matches the Rfam family "5.8S ribosomal RNA", at positions 35 to 154 of the family's 154-position model. The record is from RNAcentral.
GAUGAAGAACGUAGUGAAAUGCGAUAAGUAGUGUGAAUUGCAGAAUUCAGUGAAUCAUCGAAUCUUUGAACGCACAUUGCGCCCCUUGGUAUUCCAUGGGGCAUGCCUGUUCGAGCGUCAUUUGUACCUUCAAGCUCUGCUUGGUGUUGGGUGUUUGUCUCGCCUCUGCGUGUAGACUCGCCUCAAAACAAUUGGCAGCCGGCGUAUUGAUUUCGGAGCGCAGUACAUCUCGCGCUUUGCACUCAUAACGACGACGUCCAAAAGUACAUUUUUACACUCGUGACCUCGGAUCAGGUAGGGAUACCCGCUGAACUUAAGCAUAUCAAUAAGCGGAGGA